Molecule: long non-coding RNA, 756 nt
Organism: Drosophila arizonae
Lineage: Eukaryota; Metazoa; Arthropoda; Insecta; Diptera; Drosophilidae
Source: RefSeq, a predicted model, not a curated record
AGCGACAUGGACGUGCAACAGCAGCCGCAGCAGCAGCAACCAUAGGCAGCAACUGAAAGCCAUUUGAGCCAACAUUUGAAUGGACAACGCAGCUGGAGUUUACCCACCGACAUAUGUAUAUACAUACAUAUAUUGAAAUACUACUGCCAACUGCGUAACACAAGCUGCCAAAAAUAAACGCUAAGCAACGAAUAAAACUGCCAAGACAAAGUCAGACGAAGAAGAAGCAAAACAAACAGCGAAAAAUACGCUUUCUUCCACCUGUUUUUUUUCUGUGUGUGUUUUUUUGUUUGUUUAUUGACAAAGUGCAAAACAACAACAAUAACAACAACAACAACUACAACAAUCGACAAUAGAAGCCGCCAACGUGUUCACAAUUUCGUUAAUGCUGACGCCCACAGAGCAGGCCGUGCGCGUGUGGAUUGCAGCCCCUGACCAACAUGCAACAUGUGUCAGCAGCAGCAGCAACAGCAGCAGCAGCUACAGCAGCAACAGCUACAGCAACUAGGGAAACUGCCUCGACAUCUGCUCGAGCGCUUCAAGUGCUAAGAGACUUUCAGCCAAGCACCGAAGUUCGUUGGACUAAAGUAGCAUAAGAAGAAGAAGAAGAAGAAACAGCAAGAAGAAGAAGGACAGCCGGAAGAAGAAGGAGAAACUGAGAAUUUGACACUGCGAUUGCCGCUCGUUCCACUCAAUCUCCAAGGUAUUUCCAGUUUCCAUUCAUAUACAUUAUGCAUAAGCCAAGCCAAGCCUAGC